GAGGGUAUAGCUCAGUGGUAGAGUGUGUGCUUAGCAUGCACGAGGUCCUGGUGUCAAUCCCCAGUACUUCCA
RNAcentral lists this transfer RNA (72 nucleotides) under Camelus bactrianus (Bactrian camel). It matches the Rfam family "tRNA". Rfam says of the family: Transfer RNA (tRNA) molecules are approximately 80 nucleotides in length. Their secondary structure includes four short double-helical elements and three loops (D, anti-codon, and T loops). Further hydrogen bonds mediate the characteristic L-shaped molecular structure. tRNAs have two regions of fundamental functional importance: the anti-codon, which is responsible for specific mRNA codon recognition, and the 3' end, to which the tRNAs corresponding amino acid is attached (by aminoacyl-tRNA synthetases). tRNAs cope with the degeneracy of the genetic code in two manners: having more than one tRNA (with a specific anti-codon) for a particular amino acid; and 'wobble' base-pairing, i.e. permitting non-standard base-pairing at the 3rd anti-codon position. RNAcentral also lists the same sequence under 2 other names. Lineage: Eukaryota; Metazoa; Chordata; Mammalia; Artiodactyla; Camelidae. The record is from Rfam by way of RNAcentral.